Molecule: long non-coding RNA, 723 nt
Filed under: Androctonus crassicauda
Lineage: Eukaryota; Metazoa; Arthropoda; Arachnida; Scorpiones; Buthidae
Source: RNAcentral
AACAAUAUGGAACUUUUAAUUUUGAAAUCAAUAUUAAAACAUUUAAUUGAUAUAAAAACAAAUUACUUAAACAUUCAUGAUAUUGUUUCUGUAACUGUUGAUUAUUUCUUGGCAAUGAUUAGUACUACCUAUUUUUUCUUCUUGCUAAAUAAGAGAGACUUGGUAUUGCAGAUAUCAACAGAGGAUUGCAAUACAUAUGAAAGAUUUAUUAAUCUUAAUACAACAUGAAGAAUGAAGAUCAUCCUUCCAAUAAUUUUUGUACAUUUAAAAUAAUUAAUUUCAAAACUUUACUUUGUAUAUAUUAUUAUUGGAAGGAGGCCUUACUUAACAGGUAGGUUUUUCUAUAUCCUUUUCCUGCUUAUGCUUUGCCUUAUUCUGUCCCUUGCCCACAGAUUUUUUGGACAUAAUUGGUGGUGGGGCAUCACCCCCUACCACACCCAACGCCCCAUCAGCACAAGGGGACUGGAAACCACACUUCAGCAAGUACCUGGCUCUACCUGGUAAUCAACCUGCAGAUAGGCAGGUUUGCUAGGGAGUCCUUCCUGCUUGUCAUUUUGUCAUAUCCCUUUGGUUAGGGUGCAUGUGAUUGAUUGAUUGUAUUCAGUUAACAAAGCAUGCUGAGGUCAAGUAUAUUAAUAUUUAUUAUUAAGAAUGUAAUCGUCAAUGACUUCCACUUUAUCAGUAAAAAAAAUAGAAGUUUAUUUAAUAUUCUUUUGAAAUCAG